RNAcentral lists this ribosomal RNA (490 nucleotides) under uncultured bacterium. RNAcentral describes it as "partial 16S ribosomal RNA". It matches the Rfam family "Bacterial small subunit ribosomal RNA", at positions 29 to 507 of the family's 1533-position model. The record is from RNAcentral.
AGUGAACGCUGGCGGCAGGCCUAAUACAUGCAAGUCGAACGGCAGCACAGUGGAGCUUGCUCCAUGGGUGGCGAGUGGCGGACGGGUGGGGAAUACAUGGGAAUCUGCCCAGUCGUGGGGGAUAACGUAGGGAAACUUACGCUAAUACCGCAUGCGCCCUUCGGGGGAAAGCCGGGGACCUUCGGGCCUGGCGCGAUUGGAUGAGCCCAUGUUCGAUUAGCUAGUUGGCGGGGUAAAGGCCCACCAAGGCGACGAUCGAUAGCUGGUCUGAGAGGAUGAUCAGCCACACUGGGACUGAGACACGGCCCAGACUCCUACGGGAGGCAGCAGUAGGGAAUAUUGGACAAAGGGCGCAAGCCUGAUCCAGCCAUGCCGCGUGAGUGAAGAAGGCCCUCGGGUUGUAAAGCUCUUUUGUCCGGGAAGAAAAGCAUCGGGCUAAUACCUCGGUGUUCUGACGGUACCGGAAGAAUAAGCACCGGCUAACUUCGUG